GACGAACGCUGGCGGCGUGCUUUACACAUGCAAGUCGAACGGCAAGGCCCUGCUUUUGUUGGUGGCUCGAGUGGCAAACGGGUGAGUAACACGUGAGUAACCUGCCCUUCACUUUGGGAUAACUUCAGGAAACUGGGGCUAAUACCUGAUAGGAGCUCCUGCUGCAUGGUGGGGGUUGGAAAGUUUCGGCGUUUGGGGAUGGACUCGAGGCUUAUCAGCUUGUUGGUGGGGUAGUGGCUUACCAAGGCUUUGACGGGUAGCCGGCCUGAGAGGGUGACCGGCCACAUUGGGACUGAGAGACGGCCCAGACGCAUACGGGAGGCAGCAGUGGGGAAUAUGGUACAAUGGGCGGAAGCCUGAUGCAGCAACGCCGCGUGUGGGAUGACGGCCUUCGGGUUGUAAACCGCUUUAGCCUGUGACGAAGCGUGAGUGACGGUAAUGGGUAAAGAAGCACCGGCUAACUACGUG
RNAcentral lists this ribosomal RNA (468 nucleotides) under uncultured bacterium. Its description in RNAcentral is "partial 16S ribosomal RNA". It matches the Rfam family "Bacterial small subunit ribosomal RNA", at positions 28 to 507 of the family's 1533-position model. The record is from RNAcentral.